GAAAAGAACGUUCUCUCCUCUGUCAUGAGAAAAAGAAACAAACAAAGGGACCUAAAAGGUCAGAAGGGAAAAGGGGAAAAGGGGAAAAAGGGCUUUUGAAGGAAGGUACAUACACACCAAGUAUGUGCACGCCUGUAUGGAUGUGUGCUACCCACCCAUCCACAAAAGGAGAAAAGGAGAAAAGGAAAGCUGCAUGGGCCUCUUCCCUUCCCUUCCAACCAGGAGAAAGGAGGAAAGGA
Molecule: non-coding RNA, 239 nt
Filed under: Palpitomonas bilix
Lineage: Eukaryota
Source: RNAcentral